GAUGAACGCUGGCGGCGUGCCUAAUACAUGCAAGUCGUGCGGCAGCAUGCCCUUCGGGGUGAUGGCGAGCGGCGGACGGCUGAGUAACGCGUGGGAACGUGCCCCAAAGUGAGGGAUAACUGCUCGAAAGAGUAGCUAAUACCGCAUAUGGUCUUCGGAUUAAAGCUUCGGCGCUUUGGGAGCGGCCCGCGUCUGAUUAGAUAGUUGGUAGGGUAAUGGCCUACCAAGUCGACGAUCAGUAGCUGGUCUGAGAGGAUGAUCAGCCAGACUGGAACUGAGACACGGUCCAGACUCCUACGGGAGGCAGCAGUAAGGAAUCUUCCACAAUGGGGGCAACCCUGAUGGAGCAACGCCGCGUGAAGGAUGAAGGCCUUAGGGUUGUAAACUUCUUUUGUUAGCGAAGAAUAUGACGGUAACUAACGAAUAAGGGUCGGCUAACUACGUGCCAGCAGCCGCCGUAA
This 461-nucleotide ribosomal RNA is filed under the name uncultured bacterium. RNAcentral's name for it is "partial 16S ribosomal RNA". It matches the Rfam family "Bacterial small subunit ribosomal RNA", at positions 28 to 523 of the family's 1533-position model. The record is from RNAcentral.